CACGUAGGCGGAUAUCUAAGUCAGGGGUGAAAUCCCAGAGCUCAACUCUGGAACUGCCUUUGAUACUGGGUAUCUUGAGUAUGGAAGAGGUAAGUGGAAUUCCGAGUGUAGAGGUGAAAUUCGUAGAUAUUCGGAGGAACACCAGUGGCGAAGGCGGCUUACUGGUCCAUUACUGACGCUGAGGUGCGAAAGCGUGGGGAGCAAACA
RNAcentral lists this ribosomal RNA (207 nucleotides) under uncultured bacterium. RNAcentral describes it as "partial 16S ribosomal RNA". It matches the Rfam family "Bacterial small subunit ribosomal RNA", at positions 568 to 774 of the family's 1533-position model. The record is from RNAcentral.